UAGUAAAGUCAGCUAAUUAAGCUUUUGGGCCCAUACCCCAAACUUGUUGGUUAAACCCCUUCCUUUACUA
This 70-nucleotide transfer RNA is filed under the name Acantharchus pomotis. RNAcentral describes it as "tRNA-Met". Lineage: Eukaryota; Metazoa; Chordata; Actinopteri; Centrarchiformes; Centrarchidae. The record is from RNAcentral.